GGUUGUGAGGGCGAUCUGGCUGCGACAUCUGUCACCCCAUUGAUCGCCAGGGUUGAUUCGGCUGAUCUGGCUGGCUAGGCAGGUGUCCCCCUCCUCCCUCAAAGCUCCAUGUGCGUCCCUCCCGAAGCUGCAUGCUCGGUCGAAGAGGACGACCACGCCUGAUAGAGGAGGACCGUUCCUUGGUCAAGAGUAUAGGAGUAGCUGCACUCCCUUGCUAGAACCUCCAAACAAGCUCUCAAGAUGUUAAUUAUUCUUUUGUGAUGAAUUCUUUCAGAAUCUUUUCUUCCUGAGUUUUGAAAUGUAGCCCAUU
Molecule: small nuclear RNA, 310 nt
Filed under: Chinchilla lanigera (long-tailed chinchilla)
Lineage: Eukaryota; Metazoa; Chordata; Mammalia; Rodentia; Chinchillidae
Description: 7SK RNA (ENSCLAG00000021973.1)
Rfam family: 7SK RNA
About the family: 7SK was discovered as an abundant small nuclear RNA in the mid-70s but a possible function has only recently been suggested. Two independent studies have found that 7SK RNA binds the CDK9/cyclin T complex (known as elongation factor P-TEFb).
Source: RNAcentral